This 331-nucleotide ribosomal RNA is filed under the name uncultured eukaryote. RNAcentral's name for it is "partial 18S ribosomal RNA". It matches the Rfam family "Eukaryotic small subunit ribosomal RNA", at positions 1470 to 1796 of the family's 1831-position model. The record is from RNAcentral.
CCCUUAGAUGUUCUGGGCUGCACGCGCGCUACACUGAUGCGUUCAACGAGCAUAUUUUAACCUUGCCCGAUAGGGUUGGGUAAUCUUUUGAACACGCAUCGUGAUGGGGAUAGAUUAUUGUAAUUAUUAAUCUUCAACGAGGAAUUCCUAGUAAUGGUGAAUCAUCAGUUCAUCGUGAUUACGUCCCUGCCCUUUGUACACACCGCCCGUCGCUCCUACCGAUUGAGUGGUCCGGUGAGGCUUUGGGAUCUGAGCGGAAAGAGCGUUUCGCUGUUUCUGCUCGGAAAACUCAGUCGAACCUUAUCAUUUAGAGGAAGGAGAAGUCGUAACA